UGGUGCUGCGUGGGCCGUGGGAACCACGAGUGGGACUCCAGGGCUCUCCUCUGCAUGAGCAUCCCUGUGGUGCUGCCCUCCUUUUAUCCGCAAGCACUGUGUGGGAGCAGGAUUUCAAGGAAAGAAAAUGAAUGCAUCAUAUCAGGGAAAUUACAUCAGAAUCUCCUAGUUUUGCUGAGCUGGAGAAGGAAAGGAAACCACAGGAAGAGAAGUGCUGGCCAAGAGGCUGCAGCUUUCAGAUUCCAUUUGGGUGCCUGGCAGGGACUAGCCAGAGCCCUAACCCCCACGCCACUGACCCUGCUGCUGCUGCAAUGACCUCACCGGCCAUGAGCCAGGCUGGAGUGUGAAGCUCGGUGGCCAGAGCCCCGACAGCAAUCCCAAGCAGGCAGCUGUAAAGCAACACCAGCAAGCUCCAGGCAGGGUUUUGCUUUGCAACAGCCCCAGCAGUACCACUGUGUCGGGGGGGUGCGGAGCUGCCCAGCCCAGCUCGCAUGCCAUGGCAUGGACACCCCCAGCCACUGCCACUAUUGCUGGCAGAAAACCAGUGGCAGGUGUCAAAUCCCAGCUUAUCCCCAGUUUUGCCACAAAUGCCAGUCCUCACCCUGCUCCACUGGUCAAAGCAGGGAUACAGCGUUAGCUCCAAAGCUCCGUGGCUGGAGCCCUGAUGGGAACCAGGCAGAUGAAGGCUGCUCCAGAUUCCCUGUGCCCACUGGAGACCAGCCCAAAAGCACCCGCAUUUUCAAAUUGUUAUUUUUAAGGAAAUUAUUGAUAUCAGGGAGAAGCCUGUUGUGGCUCAGUUUCCUCCAUUUGCCACCACAGUGGGUGGACAGGCUCUAGAAGCUGCAGGAGGAUUUUCCCCAUGAGAUGAGGUGAUUCCCAGGGACCUGGAGUCCCACAACAUGAGCAGGGCCACCCCCAUCGGUGCCCAUCUCCAGGUUCUGGCUGGGUCUGAAGGACAGUGCUAAACCUCCAGGCACCUCCCCUUCUGAAGCCAUCCUGUUUAAUCCCUUGAUCCAUCUGGGAGAAAAACAAACCAACCCCCAAACCCCACCCAAACCCAACCUUCACCCAUUGUAGGCCUGCACCUGCCUUUAUCCCUGCCUCAAUCCUCAUCCCAUGCACAAGCAGGAGCUGCUUCGUCUUGCGGGGGAGCUGAGGGGUUCAGCCUUAGCCUUUCAGGUUUCACUGCACUCCCAGGGCAUUCCAAGACUAUUCCUGUGUCCCCACAAGGAUACUGAGUCCUGAUGUGACCCCUCUUUUCUCACACAGGAUUUAUGUCAUCUCACUCCAGCUGCAGGUCAACAAGAGAUGUUUUAUUAAACCCAUCAAGGGACAUAGAGGACUGUGGACAGACGACGGCAGGGGAGGGGACGGAGCCAGCUCCAUAACUUAACGAGAUGAGAAUGUACAGGGAGGCCCCGGGGAGCAGAGGAAAGUGAAUGCCUCUGGUCCUGGUCCAGCGCAGCUGCCUGGCUCGCCUUUCCAUUCCUGGAGCCAUCCUUUCCCACUUAUCUGCCUUCUCAGCCCCAGGCACCGAGGACCUCCUGGCCCAGCUGUGGUAAAAGUGGCCUCCUAAGGCCGAUCAAUAACCCCAGGGGAGGAAGAUCGACAGGACAGGAUGGCUGCUGUAGCUGAGGCAGCCAAAGUAAUGAACGUGAUCAAAGCAGCUUUGACAGUAUGCUGGCUGCCUCCGCACAGGGACGGGCCCUGGCUGAAAACCCGAACACCAAGUGAACACCAAACUCCUCUGCUUGAGAUUACAAUCAGGGCUGCGCUGCUCGAGUUGAGUGAUCUCUUCCCCCCGCCCCCAACGGGCUUUGGACUUUGAAAACCCAGAGUUUAAAACUAAAAUAAACCCAAAGCACUAUAU
Non-coding RNA from Phalacrocorax carbo (great cormorant), 1870 nucleotides. The record is from RefSeq and is a predicted model, not a curated record. Lineage: Eukaryota; Metazoa; Chordata; Aves; Suliformes; Phalacrocoracidae.